Molecule: ribosomal RNA, 495 nt
Filed under: uncultured bacterium
Lineage: Bacteria
Description: partial 16S ribosomal RNA
Rfam family: Bacterial small subunit ribosomal RNA
Source: RNAcentral
GACGAACGCUGGCGGCGUGCCUAAUACAUGCAAGUAGAACGCUGAAGGAGGAGCUUGCUUCUCUGGAUGAGUUGCGAACGGGUGAGUAACGCGUAGGUAACCUGCCUGGUAGCGGGGGAUAACUAUUGGAAACGAUAGCUAAUACCGCAUAAUAGUAGAUGUUGCAUGACAUUUGCUUAAAAGGUGCAAUUGCAUCACUACCAGAUGGACCUGCGUUGUAUUAGCUAGUUGGUGGGGUAACGGCUCACCAAGGCGACGAUACAUAGCCGACCUGAGAGGGGGAGCGGCCACACUGGGACUGAGACACGGCCCAGACUCCUACGGGAGGCAGCAGUAGGGAAUCUUCGGCAAUGGACGGAAGUCUGACCGAGCAACGCCGCGUGAGUGAAGAAGGGUUUCGGAUCGUAAAGCUCGGUUGUAAGAGAAGAACGAGUGUGAGAGUGGAAAGUUCACACUGUGACGGUAUCUUAACAGAAAGGGACGGCUAACUACGUG